UACGUAGGGUGCGAGCGUUAAUCGGAUUUACUGGGCGUAAAGCGCGCGUAGGUGGCCAAUUAAGUCAAAUGUGAAAUCCCCGAGCUUAACUUGGGAAUUGCAUUCGAUACUGGUUGGCUAGAGUAUGGGAGAGGAUGGUAGAAUUCCAGGUGUAGCGGUGAAAUGCGUAGAGAUCUGGAGGAAUACCGAUGGCGAAGGCAGCCAUCUGGCCUAAUACUGACACUGAGGUGCGAAAGCAUGGGGAGCAAACAGG
RNAcentral lists this ribosomal RNA (253 nucleotides) under uncultured microorganism. RNAcentral describes it as "partial 16S ribosomal RNA". It matches the Rfam family "Bacterial small subunit ribosomal RNA", at positions 524 to 776 of the family's 1533-position model. The record is from RNAcentral.